AACGGAGGGUGCAAGCGUUAUCCGGAUUCACUGGGGUUAAAGGGAGCGCAGGCGGAUUUGUAAGUCAGUGGGGAAAGGCUUAAGCUUAACUUGGGAACUGCCAUUGAUACUAUAAGUCUUGAAUGUUGUUGAGGUUUGCGGAAUGGGUCAUGUAGCGGUGAAAUGCAUAGAUAUGACCCGGAACACCUAUUGCGAAGGCAGCAGGCUAAACAAAUAUUGACGCUGAGGCUCGAAAGCGUGGGGAUCAAACAGG
This 253-nucleotide ribosomal RNA is filed under the name uncultured bacterium. RNAcentral describes it as "partial 16S ribosomal RNA". It matches the Rfam family "Bacterial small subunit ribosomal RNA", at positions 524 to 776 of the family's 1533-position model. The record is from RNAcentral.